Non-coding RNA from Odocoileus virginianus texanus, 3921 nucleotides. The record is from RefSeq and is a predicted model, not a curated record. NCBI's taxonomy places the organism in Eukaryota, Metazoa, Chordata, Mammalia, Artiodactyla, Cervidae.
GCAUAUGAAGGAUCAAAACAAGAAGGUGGCCAACCUGAAGCACAAUCAACAGUUGGAAAAAAAGAAGAAUGCCCAGUUACUGGAAGAAGUCCGCAGGCGAGAGGAUAGCAUGACUGACAACUCUCAGCAUUUGCAGAUAGAAGAACUGAUGAAUGCGCUGGAGAAGACCAGACAGGAACUGGACGCCACCAAGGCUCGCCUUGCCGCCACGCAGCAGUCCUUGGCUGAAAAAGAGGCACACUUGGCCAACCUACGGAUAGAGAGGAGGAAACAGCUGGAGGAGAUCCUGGAGAUGAAACAGGAAGCACUUCUUGCGGCAAUCAGUGAAAAAGAUGCGAACAUUGCCUUGCUGGAACUGUCUGCCUCCAAAAAGAAAAAGACACAAGAAGAAGUCAUGGCCCUCAAGCGGGAGAAAGAUCGACUAGUGCAUCAGUUAAAGCAGCAGGUUUAUAGACCUAAGAAACAGCCCCUGACCUCGAACAUGCCAUGCACUUGUGAUGCUAGCUACAGUCCAGAUAUUACGGCCAAGUACCAUGGGUCCAGCUACGAUGCGUACAUGAUCCAAAGGUCUCAGACCCAGAACAGGAUGAAGCUGCUGGCGGACAGCUAUGAGGAGGACCACCGCCACCACCACCACCACCACCACCACCACCGCUCUCCCGGGAGGUCGCAGCACUCCAAUCACAGGCCCUCUCCUGACCAGGAUGACGAGGAGGGCAUAUGGGCAUAGCCGGGCCUGUAAACCAAAGUUCCAGUUUUGUUUUGAGGGAUGAUCCAGCUCUGUCGGAGGCACGGAGGCACAGUCAAAUCUCAUGCUGUACAUUGAUCACCUGUCCAACCUUUGCCUAGAGUGGGAGCCCCCAGUUCCUUCAAGAGAUCCAACUUUACCUGUCUGUAAAGAAGAAGAGGAGGGAGACAGCAGGGAGGAUCCGGUGGCAGUUUAACACCAGAGCAGCUAUCAGAAGGGCUGACUAAAGGGCACGCGCAGCUCCGCAGCAAUAUUCUGAUAAUCUAUUGCAGUGCAGCUCACAUCACUGUUCACCACCACCUGGAACGCUCAUGGAGACUGAAGAGGAGCUUUCACUUCCAUUACUGAGCACGGCUCUGUUCGACUCAGUGUCUCCUUCAUCAUCUCAUGUCCUUUCCCAUGGAUUCAGACACGUUGGAGAGGAGAAGGUGGAGGAGGAGGAGACAAUGGCAGGUCCUCCAUUUUUUGGUCGGGAUUCGGGCAUUUAAAAUGUGUUCAUCUCUUCUGAAUGUCAUUAUUUGAUAACAUUUUACUUCUGUUACUUAAACAUCACUGGAUGAAUCUGAACUCCAUGGGAUCAUAACUGUGGAUUCAGCUUCUGUUGGACAACUAGCUUCAUCUCCCGUCUCUCUGCUGGUUCAGUCUAAGUGGUCAUCUCUAAUGCAUUAGAUUAUCAAAAAGUGUGAAUUCUGUGAUUGAGUGAGUGGUGCUGGCAGUGUUUGUAUACCGAGAUGCAUGGAGUGUUUGAAAGAGAAACCAAAGCACCAAAAAUGGUGAGCCUUUACCCUCCUCUAUUUCUUUAAUCUGCGGUUUGAAGAACCACAUUUUGGUGGUGGAACCAGUCGUUACCUCUGGGCCAGGUUGGAAAUGAAAUCAAUUUUUUAAACCACUAAUACUUGCCAAGAAAUCGCCUUAUGAGAACAUGGUGUGUGUCUCUGACAAUGCAUGGCACAUCUAAAUUGAUCAUUCAUAGUUCUAUGGACCCUGUGUUUGUACUAGGGAGUGACUGGAGCCUGAGGCACCUGCAUAUUUCUAUCCCAUGUGUGUUACGUAUCACCCACAGUGGGGUCACAGCCGAGCCUCAGACUCUCGCCAUUCCCGUACAUGCAGGUCUCCACGAAGAAGCUGGGACUCAUUCAUACUCAAGAUCCAAACGCUGUCCAAACAGCGAGUGUACGCUUAGAUCUUCUGCAAAUGAAAGGUCAUUUGUCAUUUUUUUUUAAAAGUCUCCAACAUGGAUUCCAAAACAUUUUCAGCAUCAAACAUGAAAACAUUGAUGAAUGAGGAAUAAUCACAAAAGCUAUGUAUCUGUAUAUAGCGCUACACAACAUGUUUGUGGUACAGAGUCAUUAUUUAAAGCACAUGCCAGGGAGAGAGACCACAUUUUCAGGUCUUUUACAUACAGUGACAUGGUCCUGAGGAGAAUUAAACUCCUCCUGCUUCCUCUGAGGUUAAAAAAAAAAAGAAAUAAAGUUGUUGUAACUUCAUAAAACUCGUUACCGAGUCUGGAAAACAUGUGCAACUCUUGUAUUGAUCCAUUUCCUUGUCAAUGAAAGAAACCCUUCCACGUGUAUGAAAGUGGGGGAUGAAAAUCUGCAUUUCUAAAGGACAAACAGUGAAUUUAAGCAUGAGUGGCCUUAAUAAAUAUAGUUGUCUUUUUUUGCUGCUGUGGAAAGGAUUCUAAGGAGAUGUUCCUGAAGUCUUGCAUUGAAUUUAGUUAUUAUUACUUCUUAAAAUGUUGGUGCAAUUAACUCUGGACCUCUCUUGUGAGCCAUAGAGAUAUUUAAAAGUCAGACACCUUAUUUAUCUAUCUGAGAAGACAAAGCUGUGUCUGGGUUGAGCUGUUCAUCCUUGGUGCAUUAAGAGUAGUAUAUUCGAGCAGGUUUCUCGCUUCUGGCUUUGUUCUUGUCCUAAGUAUUGCGCAUUGUGUAAAACUUUCAUGUUGCACAAGCAAUCCAAAUACAUUCAUGUUUAAUAAGUUUGUCCUUUAACUAUCAAGGCAAUCUAGGUCUUGACUUGAGAAACAGCAGAGUUCUUUGCAAAAGUUAUUUCACACAUUUUGACAUAAUGCCGCCCUGAAAACCCAGGCCUCCUCCAACUCAUGGCUGUGAACAGUUUGAGCAUCCUUAAACAGGCAGCCUCACUGUCUCCUACAGCCAGAUCCUGAUCUGAACUCUGCCACUGAAUACUUGAAGUGGGAAAGCCACUAGGCAGUGAGUGUCCUAGAAGCAGAGAAAGCAACCGACCAUGAAUAGUUAGCAAUUUCCCAGUAUGUGCCAAUUCUGUCCCAGCUGUUGUUUCGAGGGCUCAUUUUUGCCCCACUUUUGUUUGCCUAAAGUAUUACUGAUGUUCCUUUUGUGGGACAAUUAUCAUUUAGUUCCUUAAAAAUUAAAUUAUGUCUAACAUAGCAUCUUUCCAUUAUGUAUCAUGUAAUAUUCCCUGAUGUUGAGGGGCUACCAAAAAAUUCCCUUUUCACAUAUUAAAAAUAGUUUGUGUUUACAGCAAACAACUGUGCUGUUGGGAAGACAUUUCCUUUGCACAGACUUUAGCAGGUUUCCCCCUUGAUCAUAAUCAAGUUGAGAAAGUUGAGGCUGACAUUUAGGAGAAGUUGGUCUUCUUGCUUUGUGCAAAAGCAAGCUUGUACUUUAUACCCUGUUUGAUUUCAAUGUACAGUCUCUAUUUUGUAUUUAAUGAUUUUUGUGUAUCCAGUAUGCACGUUAACAGCGUGUCAACUUUCAUUUAAAAGUGGGUUUCCAUUUACUUUUUAAACAGUGUUCAUGACGAGACCUCAAAUGUGUUGACAUAAGCUCUAUCUGAGAUGUUUUUGUGUUGAGUGGCGUUUGAAUGCUGCCAGGGGUCAGUGUAUCUAAUUCCCAGAGACCCUCGUUUGAUAGUGCUUCUUGUAAUAUUUCUCCAAGUGAGUGGCAUGUGGGUUGUGAUAUUGACCAUGUGAUUAUGGACUUCGAUAUGAAAAAAAAAUAAAUAAAUAAAACUAAGGAACCCUCAGAAACUAUCAGUGGGCAUGUAGUAGCCAGUCAUUGUAACCUCGUGUCUAGUAGAAGUACAACGUACAAGGUAUGUACAGUUCACACAUUUGUUAUCACGUGUAUGAGAAGUGCUUUGUGCUGAUCGCCUUAUUUAUAUUCAUCAAAUAAACUUUGUUUCUUUCUGAA